RNAcentral lists this long non-coding RNA (225 nucleotides) under Mytilus galloprovincialis (Mediterranean mussel). The record is from RNAcentral. Lineage: Eukaryota; Metazoa; Mollusca; Bivalvia; Mytilida; Mytilidae.
AGAUUUCUGUCUCAUUGACAUUGCUAUUUUUGUAGUUGGGUUUCUGUUUCAUUGACAUAUGCCUCACAUCUCCUUUUAUUUAUGCUGCACUUAAUUUUCCGUGUGCUCAAAAUGGCUGAUAAAAAAAGUUUUAUCAUUUAAUUCUGAUAGCAGUACCAGAUUUUCUUUGGAUCAAAUCUAGCGAGUCGAUUUGUAUUGUUUUCGGAUUAACGUCCCGUGGCAUAU